Molecule: ribosomal RNA, 253 nt
Filed under: uncultured bacterium
Lineage: Bacteria
Description: partial 16S ribosomal RNA
Rfam family: Bacterial small subunit ribosomal RNA
Source: RNAcentral
UACGUAGGGACCAAGCGUUGUUCGGAUUUACUGGGCGUAAAGGGCGCGUAGGCGGCGUGUUAAGUCAGUUGUGAAAUCUCCAAGCUUAACUUGGAACGGUCAACUGAUACUGAUGUGCUAGAGUGCAGAAGGGGCAACCGGAAUUCUUGGUGUAGCGGUGAAAUGCGUAGAUAUCAAGAGGAACACCUGAGGUGAAGACGGGUUGCUGGGCUGACACUGACGCUGAGGCGCGAAAGCUAGGGUAGCAAACGGG